CCUACGGGGUGCUGCAGUGGGGAAUAUUGGACAAUGGGCGAAAGCCUGAUCCAGCCAUGCCGCGUGUGUGAAGAAGGCCUUCGGGUUGUAAAGCACUUUCAGUGGGGAAGAAAGCCUCGGGGCUAAUACCCUCGAGGAAGGACAUCACCCACAGAAGAAGCACCGGCUAACUCCGUGCCAGCAGCCGCGGUAAUACGGAGGGUGCGAGCGUUAAUCGGAAUUACUGGGCGUAAAGCGCGCGUAGGCGGUCUGAUAAGCCGGUUGUGAAAGCCCCGGGCUCAACCUGGGAACGGCAUCCGGAACUGUCAGGCUAGAGGGCCGGAGAGGAAGGUAGAAUUCCCGGUGUAGCGGUGAAAGGCGGAGAGAUCGGGAGGAAUACCAGUGGCGAAGGCGGCCUUCUGGACUGACACUGACGCUGAGGUGCGAAAGCGUGGGUAGCAAACAGGAUUAGAUACCCGAGUAGUC
This 465-nucleotide ribosomal RNA is filed under the name Vreelandella stevensii. RNAcentral describes it as "partial 16S ribosomal RNA". It matches the Rfam family "Bacterial small subunit ribosomal RNA", at positions 338 to 795 of the family's 1533-position model. Lineage: Bacteria; Pseudomonadati; Pseudomonadota; Gammaproteobacteria; Oceanospirillales; Halomonadaceae. The record is from RNAcentral.